UCUUCACAUGAGCAAAAAAGGGUUCUUCCAAGUGAACCCUAAACUCACAAAUUGGAUCAAAAUCAAGGGAAAUCAAGCCAAGAUUUUGGGGGUUUAACUAAAUUCGUGAUCACCAAGCUUAGGAGAUCACAAGUUGACUCUAAACAAGCUAGGUGAGAGCUUGGAAAGGAACGGGUCAAACAGAUCAUGGAUGCGAAGAAUGUUUGCGCGGACGCGAGGGUAAAACGGCUUAUGGAAUUUACGUGGCUAUGA
This 252-nucleotide long non-coding RNA is filed under the name Helianthus annuus (common sunflower). RNAcentral describes it as "sRNA HanXRQr2_Chr16g0754291". Lineage: Eukaryota; Viridiplantae; Streptophyta; Magnoliopsida; Asterales; Asteraceae. The record is from RNAcentral.